Molecule: long non-coding RNA, 2008 nt
Organism: Ictalurus punctatus (channel catfish)
Lineage: Eukaryota; Metazoa; Chordata; Actinopteri; Siluriformes; Ictaluridae
Exons: 4
Source: RefSeq, a predicted model, not a curated record
GGGGGCUGUGCUCGAGUUGGAGCUGUUGGGCGACGCAUGGGAGCGGAGCUCGCUGUGCAGUCCCAGUGACGCGUUAUUCCACACGUUUGCGGCAUCACCGAGAUCAGACUCCAUUCUGGCAAGCCCGUAUCUCCAUACCAAAACCUGACGUUUAUACAUGAGCUCUCACCCAAUGACGCACUGGAGCUACACAGGGACCGCCUUCCUCAUUUCCAUAUUGAACAUGAAAAGGUUUGGUCCUCCAUAUUAAGGGGUUUCCUGUGGGUACUCAGGUUUCCUCCCACAGUCCAAAGACAGUUGUACACUGAGUUUCCUGGGACAGACUCCAGACUCCCCUGCAACCCUGUGUGGAGUAAGCAGUACAGAAAAGGAUAUAUAUAUAUUUCCAUAAAGAAAACUACCCUGAAAAACAAAACAAGAACUAAAAAAUGAUCUGUUCUGAAAAUGUUUCUGGAACUGAAAACAUGAUGCUUUUAGUAACAAAAAUCUGUUGUACAUGUCGUUAGUCUUACAUAUUUUGCAUGGCAGCACCCUCCCAGAAAAAAGAGCACUAAACAUGACCAUUCCUUUUCAUUGGGCUGGUACCCUGUAACUUUAAUAUAUUUCACCUAUAAAUAUGUGCUUUUUAAAAAAGGCCCGUAAUCUCCUUUUAGCGCAACUCUAUGAACAUACACUACAUGUACUUUUCAAGGUAAAGUAUACUAACAAUACAAAAAGUGCACCUUUGAGUGUACCACCCCAUUGACAAAGAAUGGUUCAUUGCAGUACCCUUUAUUUAUGAGUGCAGCAGUAGUUUCAGCAGGUUUUUUUCCCCAGCUUGGACACCAAUGUAGUAUUGCCCUGGGGGGAGGGGUUUUUUAAAUGUCACAAGCCAGUCUACUUGUGUGUCAUAGUACAUUUAAUUGUAACCCAAUACAGAGGCAAACACGUGAAAUGCGUCUGUCAGCACCACUAUUCUUAGAGCCUUUCCUCAGUUUAUCUUAUGGACACGCGAACAAUACCACAGAUACCUGGGUUACUAUGGACUUCAUGCAUGUCAUGCACAAAAUCAGAUUUGGAGAAUAUGCAGAACAAUAAAAGCACUGGGAAACUGGUAAUUGGGUUUUUAUGAUGUUACAAUCAUAUUGGAUCUCAUACAUUUAUGCUCAUUCCAAUUAAAUGGUUUCUUUGUCUGUCUGGUCACAUGCAAGCACAAGAUUGUACAGUAUACUGCAUGAACUCAGAAAAUUGUAUGCUGUUUCAGAAACAUGCUCAGGGGCCAGGUUAAAAGGAGUGCAAAUCAAAUCAUCUGUAAUUUUUUUAAGAUAACACAAUCUUGCAAUAAGCACCAGGCAAAAAUCCCCCCAAAAAACAAAACUAAAAAAACAACUCAUUGAAAUGAUUCUAAGUAUUUGUAACUGUGAAGCCUGGAAACAUCAUCGCACUUCAGUCAGCGUUAAUCUGCUCACAAUGUUGCAACAAAAUGUUAAUAACUAGCAACAUACCUAUAAUUGUGAUGCAGUAAUGUAACAGAUGAGUGCUUUAAUGUAAUAUAUUUUGAGAGUGUGAUGUAAAUUUGAAAGUUCCAUUGUGCUAAAUUUAGACCAGACUGUUCUGUUUAUUAAUAGAUUUUAACUAAGUCUCUAGAACCAUAACUCAUGCUGCGGAGAGCAAUGUGAGACAUCAGGGCAUGUGAUCAGAGAGGGGAAAGUUAUAGCUGUUGGGGCUGCACCGGACGGCUGGCAGCUUAAGAGCCAGGAAUGGUGCAUUUUGACAUAACAGAUGGUUGAUGAUCUCAGGAGGAAGAUGAUUUAGUGCUGUUUUGGAUUACAUUUCACACGCGCACUGCAUGUGAACGUACACAUACACAUGCCUGGACCAUGUGUUCAGUUACAUGUAUGUAUAAACAUACACCUGAACACCUACACACACAGUAUUCAGAAUACCCUUGAAAAGAGUCCAGUAUAAUAUCCAACCAACACCUUAAGUAAGUUGAAGUGUUUAGAUUUUAUAGCCCUUGCAGUCAUGG